This 427-nucleotide ribosomal RNA is filed under the name uncultured bacterium. Its description in RNAcentral is "partial 16S ribosomal RNA". It matches the Rfam family "Bacterial small subunit ribosomal RNA", at positions 354 to 796 of the family's 1533-position model. The record is from RNAcentral.
GUGGGGAAUAUUGGGCAAUGGGGGCAACCCUGACCCAGCGACGCCGCGUGAGGGAAGAAGGCCUUAGGGUCGUAAACCUCUGUUGUGUGGGAAGAAGGAAGUGACGGUACCACACGAGGAAGUCCCGGCUAACUACGUGCCAGCAGCCGCGGUAAUACGUAGGGGACGAGCGUUGUCCGGAAUUACUGGGCGUAAAGGGCGCGUAGGCGGUCAUUUAAGUCAGCUGUGAAAUGGUCCGGCUCAACCGGAUCAUGCGGUUGAAACUGGAGGACUGGAGUGCUGGAGAGGCAAGUGGAAUUCCCAGUGUAGCGGUGAAAUGCGUAGAUAUUGGGAAGAACACCGGUGGCGAAGGCGACUUGCUGGCCAGCAACUGACGCUGAGGCGCGAAAGCCAGGGGAGCAAACGGGAUUAGAAACCCCGGUAGUCC